GUCCACGCCGUAAACGGUGGGCGCUAGGUGUGGGGAACCUUCCACGUUCUCUGUGCCGCAGCUAACGCAUUAAGCGCCCCGCCUGGGGAGUACGGCCGCAAGGCUAAAACUCAAAGGAAUUGACGGGGGCCCGCACAAGCGGCGGAGCAUGCGGCUUAAUUCGAUGCAACGCGAAGAACCUUACCUAGGCUUGACAUAUGCCGAAAACUCAUAGAGAUAUGGGGUCCGCAAGGGCGGUAUACAGGUGGUGCAUGGUUGUCGU
Molecule: ribosomal RNA, 262 nt
Filed under: uncultured bacterium
Lineage: Bacteria
Description: partial 16S ribosomal RNA
Rfam family: Bacterial small subunit ribosomal RNA
Source: RNAcentral